GGGUUGUGAGGUUAAGCGACUAAGCGUACACGGUGGAUGCCCUGGCAGUCAGAGGCGAUGAAGGGCGUGCUAAUCUGCGAUAAGCGCCGGUAAGGUGAUAUGAACCGUUAUAACCGGCGAUACCCGAAUGGGGAAACCCAGUGUGAUUCGUCACACUAUCAUUAACUGAAUCCAUAGGUUAAUGAGGCGAACCGGGGGAACUGAAACAUCUAAGUACCCCGAGGAAAAGAAAUCAACCGAGAUUCCCCCAGUAGCGGCGAGCGAACGGGGAGGAGCCCAGAGCCUGAAUCAGCAUGUGUGUUAGUGGAAGCGUCUGGAAAGUCGCGCGAUACAGGGUGACAGCCCCGUACACAAAAGCGCAUGUGUUGUGAGCUCGAUGAGUAGGGCGGGACACGUGGUAUCCUGUCUGAAUAUGGGGGGACCAUCCUCCAAGGCUAAAUACUCCUGACUGACCGAUAGUGAACCAGUACCGUGAGGGAAAGGCGAAAAGAACCCCGGCGAGGGGAGUGAAAAAGAACCUGAAACCGUGUACGUACAAGCAGUGGGAGCACCCUUUUGGGUGUGACUGCGUACCUUUUGUAUAAUGGGUCAGCGACUUAUAUUCUGUAGCAAGGUUAACCGUAUAGGGGAGCCGGAGGGAAACCGAGUCUUAAUUGGGCGUUAAGUUGCAGGGUAUAGACCCGAAACCCGGUGAUCUAGCCAUGGGCAGGUUGAAGGUUGGGUAACACUAACUGGAGGACCGAACCGACUAAUGUUGAAAAAUUAGCGGAUGACCUGUGGCUGGGGGUGAAAGGCCAAUCAAACCGGGAGAUAGCUGGUUCUCCCCGAAAGCUAUUUAGGUAGCGCCUCGUGAAUUCAUCUCCGGGGGUAGAGCACUGUUUCGGCUAGGGGGCCAUCCCGGCUUACCAACCCGAUGCAAACUGCGAAUACCGGCGAAUGUUAUCACGGGAGACACACGGCGGGUGCUAACGUCCGUCGUGAAGAGGGAAACAACCCAGACCGCCAGCUAAGGUCCCAAAGUCAUGGUUAAGUGGGAAACGAUGUGGGAAGGCCCAGACAGCCAGGAUGUUGGCUUAGAAGCAGCCAUCAUUUAAAGAAAGCGUAAUAGCUCACUGGUCGAGUCGGCCUGCGCGGAAGAUGUAACGGGGCUAAACCAUGCACCGAAGCUGCGGCAGCGACGCUGAUGCGU
Molecule: ribosomal RNA, 1189 nt
Filed under: Salmonella enterica
Lineage: Bacteria; Pseudomonadati; Pseudomonadota; Gammaproteobacteria; Enterobacterales; Enterobacteriaceae
Description: partial 23S ribosomal RNA
Rfam family: Bacterial large subunit ribosomal RNA
Source: RNAcentral